Molecule: ribosomal RNA, 68 nt
Filed under: Mycoplasmopsis mucosicanis
Lineage: Bacteria; Bacillati; Mycoplasmatota; Mycoplasmoidales; Metamycoplasmataceae
Description: Mycoplasma mucosicanis partial 23S ribosomal RNA
Source: RNAcentral
GCUGGAUGUGUAAGCAUAGCGAUAUGUUGAGCUGACCAGUACUAAUAAAUCGAUAGGUUUAAAAGUAA